GACGAACGCUGGCGGCGUGCUUAACACAUGCAAGUCGAACGGUGAAGCGCCUUCCUUUUUGGUGGGUGUGGAUGAGUGGCGAACGGGUGAGUAACACGUGAGUAACCUGCCCCCUUCUUCUGGAUAACCGCAUGAAAGUGUGGCUAAUACGGGAUAUUCUGUGUCUGUCGCAUGAUGGGUCUGGGAAAGAUAUUGUUUCGGUGGGGGAUGGGCUCGCGGCCUAUCAGCUUGUUGGUGGGGUGAUGGCCUACCAAGGCGGUGACGGGUAGCCGGCCUGAGAGGGUGGACGGUCACACUGGGACUGAGACACGGCCCAGACUCCUACGGGAGGCAGCAGUGGGGAAUAUUGCACAAUGGGCGCAAGCCUGAUGCAGCGACGCCGCGUGAGGGAUGGAGGCCGUCGGGUUGUGAACCUCUUUCGCCAGUGAAGCAGGCCUGCCUCGUUUGUGGGUGGGUUGACGGUAGCUGGAUAAGAAGCGCCGGCUAACUACGUG
RNAcentral lists this ribosomal RNA (494 nucleotides) under uncultured bacterium. RNAcentral's name for it is "partial 16S ribosomal RNA". It matches the Rfam family "Bacterial small subunit ribosomal RNA", at positions 28 to 507 of the family's 1533-position model. The record is from RNAcentral.